UACGAAGGGGGGCUAGCGUUUGUUCGAAUUACUGGGCGUAAAGCGCACGUAGGCGGAUUUGUAAGUCAGGGGUGAAAUCCCGGGGCUCAACCUCGGAACUGCCUUUGAUACUGCAAGUCUCGAGUCCGAUAGAGGUGAGUGGAAUUCCUAGUGUAGAGGUGAAAUUCGUAGAUAUUAGGAAGAACACCAGUGGCGAAGGCGGCUCACUGGAUCGGUACUGACGCUGAGGUGCGAAAGCGUGGGGAGCAAACUACGG
RNAcentral lists this ribosomal RNA (256 nucleotides) under uncultured bacterium. Its description in RNAcentral is "partial 16S ribosomal RNA". It matches the Rfam family "Bacterial small subunit ribosomal RNA", at positions 524 to 778 of the family's 1533-position model. The record is from RNAcentral.